UACAGAGGUCUCAAGCGUUGUUCGGAUUCAUUGGGCGUAAAGCGCGCGCAGGCGGUUUCUUAAGUCUGAUGUGAAAGCCCACGGCUCAACCGUGGAGGGUCAUUGGAAACUGGGGAACUUGAGUGCAGAAGAGAAAAGCGGAAUUCCACGUGUAGCGGUGAAAUGCGUAGAGAUGUGGAGGAACACCAGUGGCGAAGGCGGCUUUUUGGUCUGUAACUGACGCUGAGGCGCGAAAGCGUGGGGAGCAAACAGG
Molecule: ribosomal RNA, 253 nt
Filed under: uncultured bacterium
Lineage: Bacteria
Description: partial 16S ribosomal RNA
Rfam family: Bacterial small subunit ribosomal RNA
Source: RNAcentral